RNAcentral lists this ribosomal RNA (253 nucleotides) under uncultured bacterium. RNAcentral's name for it is "partial 16S ribosomal RNA". It matches the Rfam family "Bacterial small subunit ribosomal RNA", at positions 524 to 776 of the family's 1533-position model. The record is from RNAcentral.
UACGUAGGGUCCGAGCGUUGUCCGGAAUUAUUGGGCGUAAAGGGCUCGUAGGCGGUUUGUCGCGUCGGGAGUGAAAACACGGGGCUUAACCCCGUGCCUGCUUCCGAUACGGGCAGACUAGAGGUAUGCAGGGGAGAACGGAAUUCCUGGUGUAGCGGUGAAAUGCGCAGAUAUCAGGAGGAACACCGGUGGCGAAGGCGGGUCUCUGGGCCGAUACUGACACUGAGGAGCGAAAGCGCGGGGAGCGAACAGG